CCGAAUAGGGGAGCCGGAGGGAAACCGAGUCUUAACCGGGCGUUAAGUUGCAGGGUAUAGACCCGAAACCCGGUGAUCUAGCCAUGGGCAGGUUGAAGGUUGGGUAACACUAACUGGAGGACCGAACCGACUAAUGUUGAAAAAUUAGCGGAUGACCUGUGGCUGGGGGUGAAAGGCCAAUCAAACCGGGAGAUAGCUGGUUCUCCCCGAAAGCUAUUUAGGUAGCGCCUCGUGAAUUCAUCUCCGGGGGUAGAGCACUGUUUCGGCUAGGGGGCCAUCCCGGCUUACCAACCCGAUGCAAACUGCGAAUACCGGAGAAUGUUAUCACGGGAGACACACGGCGGGUGCUAACGUCCGUCGUGAAGAGGGAAACAACCCAGACCGCCAGCUAAGGUCCCAAAGUCAUGGUUAAGUGGGAAACGAUGUGGGAAGGCCCAGACAGCCAGGAUGUUGGCUUAGAAGCAGCCAUCAUUUAAAGAAAGCGUAAUAGCUCACUGGUCGAGUCGGCCUGCGCGGAAGAUGUAACGGGGCUAAACCAUGCACCGAAGCUGCGGCAGCGACGCUGAUGCGUUGUUGGGUAGGGGAGCGUUCUGUAAGCCUGCGAAGGUGUGUCGUGAGGCAUGCUGGAGGUAUCAGAAGUGCGAAUGCUGACAUAAGUAACGAUAAAGCGGGUGAAAAGCCCGCUCGCCGGAAGACCAAGGGUUCCUGUCCAACGUUAAUCGGGGCAGGGUGAGUCGACCCCUAAGGCGAGGCCGAAAGGCGUAGUCGAUGGGAAACGGGUUAAUAUUCCCGUACUUGGUGUUACUGCGAAGGGGGGACGGAGAAGGCUAUGUUGGCCGGGCGACGGUUGUCCCGGUUUAAGCGUGUAGGUGUGUGUUCCAGGUAAAUCCGGUUCACUUUAACACUGAGGCGUGAUGACGAGGCACUACGGUGCUGAAGCAACAAAUGCCCUGCUUCCAGGAAAAGCCUCUAAGCAUCAGGUAACAUCAAAUCGUACCCCAAACCGACACAGGUGGUCAGGUAGAGAAUACCAAGGCGCUUGAGAGAACUCGGGUGAAGGAACUAGGCAAAAUGGUGCCGUAACUUCGGGAGAAGGCACGCUGACACGUAGGUGAAGUGAUUUACUCAUGGAGCUGAAGUCAGUCGAAGAUACCAGCUGGCUGCAACUGUUUAUUAAAAACACAGCACUGUGCAAACACGAAAGUGGACGUAUACGGUGUGACGCCUGCCCGGUGCCGGAAGGUUAAUUGAUGGGGUCAGCGCAAGCGAAGCUCCUGAUCGAAGCCCCGGUAAACGGCGGCCGUAACUAUAACGGUCCUAAGGUAGCGAAAUUCCUUGUCGGGUAAGUUCCGACCUGCACGAAUGGCGUAAUGAUGGCCAGGCUGUCUCCACCCGAGACUCAGUGAAAUUGAACUCGCUGUGAAGAUGCAGUGUACCCGCGGCAAGACGGAAAGACCCCGUGAACCUUUACUAUAGCUUGACACUGAACAUUGAGCCUUGAUGUGUAGGAUAGGUGGGAGGCUUUGAAGUGUGGACGCCAGUCUGCAUGGAGCCGGCCUUGAAAUACCACCCUUUAAUGUUUGAUGUUCUAACGUGGACCCGUGAUCCGGGUUGCGGACAGUGUCUGGUGGGUAGUUUGACUGGGGCGGUCUCCUCCUAAAGAGUAACGGAGGAGCACGAAGGUUGGCUAAUCCUGGUCGGACAUCAGGAGGUUAGUGCAAUGGCAUAAGCCAGCUUGACUGCGAGCGUGACGGCGCGAGCAGGUGCGAAAGCAGGUCAUAGUGAUCCGGUGGUUCUGAAUGGAAGGGCCAUCGCUCAACGGAUAAAAGGUACUCCGGGGAUAACAGGCUGAUACCGCCCAAGAGUUCAUAUCGACGGCGGUGUUUGGCACCUCGAUGUCGGCUCAUCACAUCCUGGGGCUGAAGUAGGUCCCAAGGGUAUGGCUGUUCGCCAUUUAAAGUGGUACGCGAGCUGGGUUUAGAACGUCGUGAGACAGUUCGGUCCCUAUCUGCCGUGGGCGCUGGAGAACUGAGGGGGGCUGCUCCUAGUACGAGAGGACCGGAGUGGACGCAUCACUGGUGUUCGGGUUGUCAUGCCAAUGGCACUGCCCGGUAGCUAAAUGCGGAAGAGAUAAGUGCUGAAAGCAUCUAAGCACGAAACUUGCCCCGAGAUGAGUUCUCCCUGAGACUUAGAGUCUCCUGAAGGAACGUUGAAGACGACGACGUUGAUAGGCCGGGUGUGUAAGCGCAGCGAUGCGUUGAGCUAACCGGUACUAAUGAACCGUGAGGCUUAACCUU
Molecule: ribosomal RNA, 2297 nt
Filed under: Salmonella enterica
Lineage: Bacteria; Pseudomonadati; Pseudomonadota; Gammaproteobacteria; Enterobacterales; Enterobacteriaceae
Also listed under: 1 other name
Description: partial 23S ribosomal RNA
Rfam family: Bacterial large subunit ribosomal RNA
Source: RNAcentral